This 634-nucleotide ribosomal RNA is filed under the name uncultured Marinobacter sp. RNAcentral describes it as "bacterial SSU rRNA". It matches the Rfam family "Bacterial small subunit ribosomal RNA", at positions 870 to 1504 of the family's 1533-position model. The record is from RNAcentral. Lineage: Bacteria; Pseudomonadati; Pseudomonadota; Gammaproteobacteria; Pseudomonadales; Marinobacteraceae.
CGCCUGGGGAGUGCGGCCGCAAGGUUAAAACUCAAAUGAAUUGACGGGGGCCCGCACAAGCGGUGGAGCAUGUGGUUUAAUUCGACGCAACGCGAAGAACCUUACCUGGCCUUGACAUGCAGAGAACUUUCCAGAGAUGGAUUGGUGCCUUCGGGAACUCUGACACAGGUGCUGCAUGGCCGUCGUCAGCUCGUGUCGUGAGAUGUUGGGUUAAGCCCCGUAACGAGCGCAACCCCUAUCCCUAGUUGCUAGCAGUUCGGCUGAGAACUCUAGGGAGACUGCCGGUGACAAACCGGAGGAAGGUGGGGAUGACGUCAGGUCAUCAUGGCCCUUACGGCCAGGGCUACACACGUGCUACAAUGGUGCGCACAGAGGGCUGCAAACCCGCGAGGGGGAGCCAAUCUCACAAAACGCAUCGUAGUCCGGAUCGCAGUCUGCAACUCGACUGCAUGAAGUCGGAAUCGCUAGUAAUCGCGAAUCAGAAUGUCACGGUGAAUACGUUCCCGGGCCUUGUACACACCGCCCGUCACACCAUGGGAGUGGAUUGCACCAGAAGUGGUUAGUCUAACCUUCGGGAGGACGAUCACCACGGUGUGGUUCAUGACUGGGGUGAAGUCGUAACAAGGUAACCGUA